GAUGAACGCUGGCGGCGUGCUUAACACAUGCAAGUCGAACGAGGUCCAUGGAGCUUGCUCCGGACGACCUAGUGGCGAACGGGUGCGUAACACGUGAGAAACCUGCCCCGGACUCUGGGAUAACAGUUGGAAACGACUGCUAAUACCGGAUACCUCCGCUGAGUCGCAUGGCUCGGCGAAGAAAGGUCCGCCGGUCCGGGAGGGUCUCGCGGCCUAUCAGCUAGUUGGAGAGGUAACGGCUCACCAAGGCAUCGACGGGUAGCUGGUCUGAGAGGAUGAUCAGCCACACUGGAACUGAGACACGGUCCAGACUCCUACGGGAGGCAGCAGUGGGGAAUCUUGCACAAUGGGCGCAAGCCUGAUGCAGCAACGCCGCGUGCGGGAAGACGGCCCUAGGGUUGUAAACCGCUUUUCAGGAGGGAAGAAAAUGACGGUACCUCCAGAAGAAGGUGCGGCCAACUACGUGCCAGCCGCCGCGGUAA
This 482-nucleotide ribosomal RNA is filed under the name uncultured bacterium. RNAcentral's name for it is "bacterial SSU rRNA". It matches the Rfam family "Bacterial small subunit ribosomal RNA", at positions 28 to 523 of the family's 1533-position model. The record is from RNAcentral.